This 232-nucleotide unclassified non-coding RNA is filed under the name uncultured fungus. RNAcentral's name for it is "sequence contains ITS1". Lineage: Eukaryota; Fungi. The record is from RNAcentral.
GUAUUGAUUGCGUGUGAUCGCAAAUAAAAUAAAAGACAUUCUACACUGCAUCAAUGUUUGUGUGAAAACGCAAGCCCCCCCUCUGAACGAGCCAAAAGGGGGACCCACGCGGUGGUGCACAGGGUGAGAUGGAUUGUUUGAAAAUGCUCGGGCGUGCACGACCAAAAGUCAGCGACAGCCCUUGCACCUCAGUUUUACAAUAAUGAUCCUUCCGCAGGUUCACCUACGGAAA